AGCGAACGCUGGCGGCAGGCCUAAAACAUGCAAGUCGAACGCCCUAGCAAUAGGGAGUGGCAGACGGGUGAGUAACACGUGGGAACGUGCCUUUUGGUUCGGAACAACACAGGGAAACUUGUGCUAAUACCGGAUAAGCCCUUACGGGGAAAGAUUUAUCGCCAAAAGAUCGGCCCGCGUCUGAUUAGCUAGUUGGUGGGGUAACGGCCCACCAAGGCUACGAUCCGUAACUGGUCUGAGAGGAUGAUCAGUCACACUGGAACUGAGACACGGCACAGACUCCUACGGGAGGCAGCAGUGGGGAAUAUUGGACAAUGGGCGAAAGCCUGAUCCAGCAAUGCCGCGUGAGUGAUGAAGGCCUUAGGGUUGUAAAGCUCUUUUACCCGGGAUGAUAAUGACAGUACCGGGAGAAUAAGCUCCGGCUAACUCCGUGCCAGCCGCCGCUGUAA
Molecule: ribosomal RNA, 449 nt
Filed under: uncultured bacterium
Lineage: Bacteria
Description: partial 16S ribosomal RNA
Rfam family: Bacterial small subunit ribosomal RNA
Source: RNAcentral